This 85-nucleotide transfer RNA is filed under the name Butyricimonas virosa. Its description in RNAcentral is "tRNA-Ser". It matches the Rfam family "tRNA". From Rfam's summary of the family: Transfer RNA (tRNA) molecules are approximately 80 nucleotides in length. The record is from RNAcentral. RNAcentral also lists the same sequence under 3 other names. Lineage: Bacteria; Pseudomonadati; Bacteroidota; Bacteroidia; Bacteroidales; Odoribacteraceae.
GGAGAGGUGGCAGAGUGGUCGAUUGCGGCGGUCUUGAAAACCGUUGUACUGCAAGGUACCGGGGGUUCGAAUCCCUCCCUCUCCG